AACGAACGCUGGCGGCAUGCCUAACACAUGCAAGUCGAACGAGACCUUCGGGUCUAGUGGCGCACGGGUGCGUAACGCGUGGGAAUCUGCCCUGGGGGUGCGGAAUAACUCGGAGAAAUCCGUGCUAAUACCGCAUAAUGUCUUCGGACCAAAGAUUUAUCGCCCUGGGAUGAGCCCGCGUAGGAUUAGCUAGUUGGUGGGUAAAGCCUACCAAGGCGACGAUCCCUUAGCUGGUCUGAGAGGAUGAUCAGCCACACUGGGACUGAGACACGGCCCAGACUCCUACGGGAGGCAGCAGUGGGGAAUAUUGGACAAUGGGCGAAAGCCUGAUCCAGCAAUGCCGCGUGAGUGAUGAAGGCCCUAGGGUUGUAAAGCUCUUUACCCGGGAUGAUAAUGACAGUACCGGGAGAAUAAGCUCCGGCUAACUCCGUGCCAGCAGCCGCGGUAAU
Molecule: ribosomal RNA, 449 nt
Filed under: uncultured bacterium
Lineage: Bacteria
Description: bacterial SSU rRNA
Rfam family: Bacterial small subunit ribosomal RNA
Source: RNAcentral